Molecule: ribosomal RNA, 503 nt
Filed under: uncultured bacterium
Lineage: Bacteria
Description: partial 16S ribosomal RNA
Rfam family: Bacterial small subunit ribosomal RNA
Source: RNAcentral
AUUGAACGCUGGCGGCAGGCUUAACACAUGCAAGUCGAGCGGGGUGAUGGUGCUUGCACUAUCACUUAGCGGCGGACGGGUGAGUAAUGCUUAGGAAUCUGCCUAUUAGUGGGGGACAACAUCUCGAAGGGGAUGCUAAUACCGCAUACGUCCUACGGGAGGAAGCAGGGGAUCACUUGUGACCUUGCGCUAAUAGAUGAGCCUAAGUCGGAUUAGCUAGUGGGUGGGGUAAAGGCCUACCAAGGCGACGAUCUGUAGCGGGUCUGAGAGGCUGAUCCGCCACACUGGGACUGAGACACGGCCCAGACUCCUACGGGAGGCAGCAGUGGGGAAUAUUGGACAAUGGGUGGAACCCUGAUCCAGCCAUGCCGCGUGUGUGAAGAAGGCCUUAUGGUUGUAAAGCACUUUAAGCGAGGAGGAGGCUCUUUUGGUUAAUACCCAUGAUGAGUGGACGUUACUCGCAGAAUAAGCACCGGCUAACUCUGUGCCAGCAGCCGCAGUAA